Molecule: ribosomal RNA, 479 nt
Filed under: uncultured bacterium
Lineage: Bacteria
Description: partial 16S ribosomal RNA
Rfam family: Bacterial small subunit ribosomal RNA
Source: RNAcentral
GAUGAACGCUAGCGGGAGGCCUAACACAUGCAAGCCGAGCGGUAUUUGUUCUUCGGAACAGAGAGAGCGGCGCACGGGUGCGGAACACGUGUGCAACCUGCCUUUAUCUGGGGGAUAGCCUUUCGAAAGGAAGAUUAAUACCCCAUAAUAUAUUGAGUGGCAUCAUUUGAUAUUGAAAACUCCGGUGGAUAGAGAUGGGCACGCGCAAGAUUAGAUAGUUGGUGAGGUAACGGCUCACCAAGUCAAUGAUCUUUAGGGGGCCUGAGAGGGUGAUCCCCCACACUGGUACUGCGACACGGACCAGACUCCUACGGGAGGCAGCAGUGAGGAAUAUUGGACAAUGGGUUAGCGCCUGAUCCAGCCAUCCCGCGUGAAGGACGACGGCCCUAUGGGUUGUAAACUUCUUUUGUAUAGGGAUAAACCUACUCUCGUGAGAGUAGCUGAAGGUACUAUACGAAUAAGCACCGGCUAACUCCGUG